Molecule: long non-coding RNA, 469 nt
Organism: Drosophila montana
Lineage: Eukaryota; Metazoa; Arthropoda; Insecta; Diptera; Drosophilidae
Exons: 3
Source: RefSeq, a predicted model, not a curated record
UUUAUAUAUAUUCUAAUCAUUUUUAUUUCAUCUAUAUUCAGACUUAUUUAAUAAAGUAAAGGGACAAGUUUGCGGAAAAGCGCACAAGGCGAAAUUGACGCUGCCAAGUGGGCCAAACGUAACUCUUGAGGGCUUUAAGGCAUUUGAAGAAUGUCUUAAGGAAGAGAAGUCCUUUGAAAAUUUGGUCAUUGAAUCAGUCGCAAGUGCUGAAAAGACGUUCGACAAAUUCAUGAGGAGCUCCUGGCGCCAAAUAAUAACGGAUGAUGUUGCAAAUCAAAUGUUAGAGGCCUUCAAACCACAUUAGCAAUACGAAAAGUUUGCGCUGGAAGACUGCGAUUUCGACCGCGUAACCCAAAAAUACUUUCAACACGCGCAGGAUAGAGUGGCGCGCUUAGAAAAGGCUGAUGCCAACAAAAUAAAAUGCAAUUGUUAUUUUCUAUCGUUAAUAGUUUUAUAAUUUUCUGUUUGG